GAGAGGAAACCAUGACAACACCCUUUCGGAUACCUGUGAUGGGCCACCAUCUCUGAUCCAAAUGAUACUUGGAGGAUAGCAGCUGUUUGUGGCUCUCUUUCCAGCUGGAGUCAUUGACCCCUGGUGUUCGGUGGGCAGAUGCUAAAGGAGCUUUCAGAUUAGGGGAGACACCUCUCUGAGGAGCACUGAAAUUUGGAGGAGACACUUUACAGAAAAAGACUUGUGUGUGUGUGAGAGGCAUUUCCUGAGGAGACUUGGGCUUUAGAGGAAUUGCACUCACUUGAAGGGCUACCACACAGCAAUAAUGUGCUUCCGAGCUGCAGAACCCCAGCAGGACUACCUCCACUAACAUCUCACCCUGGAAACUGGAACUUCUUUCUGCCCAGGUUGUGCUGAGCAUUUCUCUUGGUUUUUGCUCCAUUUGCCUCCCCUACCCAUGUUUCCCUUGACGAGAUUCUAAGUGCUCAUGCUAACCCGCUGAGAUACCUCCUGAUGCUUCUUGUUUCACUUAAAAUAAUGAAGAACUUGUCAAUAUCACUUUUAACCAAAAGCAGGUCUGGGUGAAUGCCGAGGAGCCCUAGGAAGAUCAGCGUUCCUAAAAACCAGAAGGCGUGGAGGUAGCGGAAUGCUCCUGUGUAAGGAAACCACGCAGAUGGGUACACUUUGGAGAAUGGACAUAAUUCAGGAUGAACGUUGUCCUGGGUGAAAGGUGUUUUUACACAGAACAAAGAUGGAAGGUUUCAUCAGAGGGACAACUUGAUAAUUGUACUGCCACAGUGCUCUUCAUCACCUCAUUUCCCCCUUAUUUUCACAAGCAGAAGAUUAUUCUUCUAGUAGGUUUGCCAAACUGACCUGGAUGUCAGAGCUAAUCCCAUAGCUAGGCAGCCACUUGGAAUAAGACUGAUUAAAAAACAACCUUUCUCUGAGCAAACAGUGGGUUUAAAUUCAAUAGGGAGAUUAACAUGGCUAAGAGCAUCAUGUCUUUACCAGCACAGUCUAUGCUGCUGAGAUUCAGCCAGAUAUAGUUCUAAAGAGCCCUUGUCCCUGGAAAGGGCUGAGUAUACCCCAUAUGGAUGACAAUCGCUGCCAAUGUUCCUUGUUUGUGAAGGGCUCAAGACAAAACACAAGUUUUCUAGUCUCUCUCCCUCUCAUUUGACUAGGUUUUUUAGGCUGUGAUUUUUGAAGGAGCCAAUGGGAUUUAGGUGCCUGACUCCCUUAGGCUCCUUUGAAAUCCUGGCCUAAAUCAGUUAUAAAGGUAUGGACUAGGUUUAAGUAGGGUAUGUUUUAAUAUGGGAAGACUUGGGUUUGAUUCCCUGCUGUGCCACUGACCAGCAAUGAGGUAAUUUGGCAUCUCUGUUUCUUAGUUUCCUCAUCUGUAUGAUGGAGCUAAUGACACCCUCCUUCAUAAAGCUCUUUGAGAUCUCUGGAUGAAAGGUGCUGUACCAGACUACAUAUUAAUGUUAUGGUUUGCCUAGACAUGUGAGUGAUCCCUGCACAUGCAAAGCCAAUUUUUUCCUCAUUUGCACUCAUGCAACUUCAAUGAGGUUGCAUGGCUGUGUAGGUGAGGACAGCAUUUGGCUCAUUAUCUAAAAGAGACUAUCCCUUAUUAAUAAGGAAUGGAUGCUUCCAUCUUUGUAAAAAUUAGAGAUGCAGUUUUAGUAUGAUUGGAUACAAAUUUGGUAAAUCAUUUGUAGUUCAAACAGGAAUUACUUUGGGGAAAUUCUAUGGCCUGUGUUAUACUAAAUCAUCACAGUGGUCCUUUCUGGCCUUGGAAUCUAUAGACAGAGAAGGAGGUCUGGCAUGGACUCUUUACAGUUAUCUGUAGGAAGGUAAAGGAUGAGGAUUAAAGCCAGUGACCAGUAGAGGUCAGAGUUGCACCAUGUAAAUGAAGUUGGAAAGGAAGUUAGUUGACACUUAGGAAUGAGUGUUUCAAUAUUGUUGUAGCAGGAUCUGAGCUAUCCUCCUAAAAUGUGUAUUACUAGUCAAAGUUACAAUAAUUUGCUCCUGGCCUGAGAAAAAAAUAUACCACUCUUAAUAGACUGCAAUUGUAAUAUCUACCAUCAAAUUUGAGCUAGUGCUUUUAAAUUGCAUUCAGAAUAUGAGGUUUCAGAAUGUAUUGCAUAAAUUUAAACUUUUCCAUUAUUGAAGCUCUCAAGUACUCGAUCUGAGAAAGGUUACCAAAUGUGUUUACUUACAAAUUUGGGAGUAUCGACAAAGUCGCAAUGCAGUGAAUUCGUCAUCUGCUCAUGACUAGCAGAUGGUCCUCCUCCUUUGCAAGCAAAUUGCAUGACUCACGUCUUGCAUGGUUUGCAAAUUGAAACUUAGAAACUCUGGUGUCGAGGUGGACAGUUCCAUCCAUUUCUAAUCAUGCUGCCUGCCCGUGUGAUGAAUUUAUUCGUCUUCACAGUGAGGAUUUUACUAUGGAUUUUCCAUAGUGCUUUUAUUUUUCUUAUAUAAAAAUAUUUUGGAUUGGAUUUUCAUUUACAAGAAGACCACUUUACAUGGCAAUUUAAAAGGAGUUUUAAGUACAUAAAUUACAUGUACAUUUUACAGAGGGUGUGAAAGAGGUGACUGUGAAAUACAUUUACACAGGCUGGGUUUUCAGCAUGAGAUGUAGCUAAGGCAGAUCACUGCAAAGGAGCCUUUUGUGAUCACUUAAUCCUGGGGCAGUUCCGCACCAGCCCAGACCUUUGCAUAAAUCAAAGCAAACUGAAGGUUGCUCUAAACCAUGCCAGCUGCCGGUGGUCAGAAGGCACUUUAAUUGGGCUUCUCACAGGGGUAGGGGCCUGUGCACAAGAAGUUGCAGGAUCAGCACCUUUAUAGGUAAACAUCUAUGAGGGCUGGUAUGUUGCAGAUUUGUUACAAUGUUACUAAUUUAUAAGGAUAAAGUCAGCCAUCACCAUAAACCCCUACACUUUUGUGAAAUGUUUGUUACCAACUAUUCUUACAGUUUUCUCCAUUUUUAUCAGUUUGUUCACUUUGGGCAUUUGAGUUGUGUAGUCAACUUCACUGCUUCCCCUGUCUAGUCAGGCAGCCAGUUUCCUCUGUUGUUUGUGUGGGUCUGCAACAAAGCAAUGAGAGAGCUGCAUGUUUCUUUUAAAGAAUAAGAAAGUGUGAUUUUUAAAACUACAAAAAAUGGCAGGGGAAACCAAGGACAGGUGUGAACCUAAAAAUGCCUUUAACUCCUUUUUUGGCAACUGAUUAGAUUUCAAGUUGACAAGCAACAAAUUUGAUUCUUAAGCUGUAACUUGUUUACAUUAAAUAUAUCUGUUCAUCUAUUGGGUACAGGAGCGCCAGUCAUAUAAGAGAAAUAAGCUUUGCGGUUCUGUCAGACAUUCACACACCUUGUGCAAUGUGAGGCACUUGAAUUAAAGCUGAGUGUCUUCAAGUACUAGAGAAAUGCAAGUGACUGGUAUAACUGCACUAUGAUUUUUUCAAAGGCUUUUCUAUUUUGAAGUGUGUUCUUUUCUUGCUUUUAUAAAGUGGGAUUUAAAAAACAGUAAAAUGGUAAUUGGGGUUGUUUUUUACCAUUUUCUCUAUCUUUAUAUUCAAAAUCUUUUAUUUACAAAAGAAAUUAUAUAAUUUACAAAUUGAAUUUAUUAAUACAAUAUUUUCCAGGUAAGGGGCCUUAUCCUAAAGCCCAUUGGAGUCAAUGGAAAAACUCCCAUUGAUUUAAAUGGGUGGAUCAUGCUUUGAUUUCUGGCAUGGACAGCCGUGAGCUUGGCAGCCAGGAACAGAAACUGACCUGUGAGUGCCUUCUUUUUCAUCUGCCCCUUUAUACUCAUGUUACAACAGAUGGGAGAUCAGCUGGAUGAACUCUAAGGCCCAAUUCUGCAGCCAAUGGGGAAUCUUGGUGUGAAAUCCUGGCCAUGUUAAAGUCAAUGAAAGUUUUGCCAUUUACUUCAAUAGGGCCAGAACGUCAUCCUCGGGGUCUAAUCCAACUUUUAUUGAAGUCAAUGGGUGUCUUUCUAUUAACCUCAGUGGGAGAUGGAACAGGAUCUGGAUGAGGAUCAGGUUCUUUGUAAAUAUACCUCCUUUGAAAAAAAAUUAAAAGUCAAUAUUUUAAAACUUACCUCAUUUUCAAACAUCAACAGCCAUGAAAAGAGAAGCUGGCAGCCAGUAGAAAAAAUUGACAGGAGCUCUGACCCAGUCUUAUGUUGCUGUUUCCCAAAGACACUCCUGCAGUCUGUAGUACCUUAUAUCUGAAAAUCAAAUUAAAGCGAAUGCUAGGACUGUUUUUUGUCUGGCUCCUCCUUAGAGGUUAGCAGGGCUCCUAGUGUCCCCACCUCUCCC
Long non-coding RNA from Chelonia mydas (Green sea turtle), 4293 nucleotides. RefSeq lists it as uncharacterized. The transcript is spliced from 3 exons. The record is from RefSeq and is a predicted model, not a curated record. Lineage: Eukaryota; Metazoa; Chordata; Testudines; Cheloniidae.